This 274-nucleotide ribosomal RNA is filed under the name uncultured bacterium. Its description in RNAcentral is "partial 16S ribosomal RNA". It matches the Rfam family "Bacterial small subunit ribosomal RNA", at positions 523 to 796 of the family's 1533-position model. The record is from RNAcentral.
AUACGGAGGAGGCAAGCGUUGUUCGGAAUCACUGGGCUUAAAGCGCGUGUAGGCGGCUCGGCAAGUAUCUUGUGAAAGCCCUCGGCUCAACCGAGGAAUUGCGUGGUAAACUGUCGGGCUUGAGGUGAGUAGGGGUGUCUGGAACUCUAGGUGGAGCGGUGAAAUGCGUAGAUAUCUAGAGGAACGCCUGUGGCGAAAGCGGGACACUGGGCUCAUCCUGACGCUGAGACGCGAAAGCGUAGGGAGCAAACGGGAUUAGAAACCCCAGUAGUCC